CCAGUCAAGUGGUUGUAGAUCAUAGACAACACCAUACCUGUACAUUUUAACAUAUUGUCGAAUACCUGAGAAAUAAAAUUAUUUAUUAAAGUGAUCCAUUUAUUCUAAGUUUCUUCUUUCAUAAUUAUAUUCAGAAGGCCCGUGGACAUGAAAUAGUAGCGAAAAUAAAUUAAGAAUAAUAAAUGAUAGCUGAGUCAUUGAACUUAUGACUAAUAUUUAAAAUAACCUUCAUCAAUCAUUACACAUUUUGGGUUACAUUUUCGUAAUGCUUCUUUAUGUUGGAGCAUGUGUGGGUAUCCAAUUUUGAACACCACGUCGUCUACACUCAGUACUCAAAUAUAUCACCCACUGCAUGUUAGAAAAUCCAACACGCGUAACGGAUCGGUGUAUAGAAUAAAAGAAAGAUCAAAGUAACUCUACAAUGGUCUAAAUGACUAAUAAAUGUUUUGUCGUAUAUGGACUUAUGAGUAAGCUUGUGGGUUUCUACAACGAUGUAGAAAAAAAUAAUAACACUGUAACAAAACCGUGUAAACUGGCAUCGAACACGGGAUCGAGUGUAAAAUGGAUUGAAUCGUUUAUUUAUUUUUCCAAUCUUUCUUCCUACGGACCAAGACUAUACAUUGAGAACAAAGGUAUUUCACAAUGUCUUCAGCUGUUUAUUUGUUUUUUGUCGUAACAAAGAUGUGAAUUCUGUGGUACGCUAUAAUAAUUAUGUAAAAUAUAAUUUAAUCAACUUUUAAUGAUAUAAUAUACAUUAUGUAUAUAUGUAUACGUGACCGAGCAAUAAUAUAUAAUAUUGGCUAAAUUAAUUUCAGCCGCUGAGAAAAU
Aphis gossypii (cotton aphid) is the source of this 828-nucleotide long non-coding RNA. RefSeq lists it as uncharacterized. The transcript has 3 exons. The record is from RefSeq and is a predicted model, not a curated record. Lineage: Eukaryota; Metazoa; Arthropoda; Insecta; Hemiptera; Aphididae.